UACGAGGGGGGCGAGCGUUGUUCGGAAUUAUUGGGCGUAAAGGGUGCGUAGGCGGUUUGGUAAGUCUGAUGUGAAAGCCCUGGGCUCAACCUGGGAACUGCGCUUGGGACGGAUGGGCUUGAGAUCGGGAGAGGAGAGUGGAAUUCCCAGUGUAGAGGUGAAAUUCGUAGAUAUUGGGAAGAACACCGGUGGCGAAGGCGGCUCACUGGCUCAUUACUGACGCUCAGGCGCGAUAGCGUGGGGAUCAAACAGG
RNAcentral lists this ribosomal RNA (253 nucleotides) under uncultured bacterium. RNAcentral describes it as "partial 16S ribosomal RNA". It matches the Rfam family "Bacterial small subunit ribosomal RNA", at positions 524 to 776 of the family's 1533-position model. The record is from RNAcentral.